CUUAACACAUGCAAGUCGAGGGGCAGCAUGGUCUUAGCUUGCUAAGACUGAUGGCGACCGGCGCACGGGUGAGUAACACGUAUCCAACCUGCCGUCUACUCUUGGACAGCCUUCUGAAAGGAAGAUUAAUACAAGAUGGCAUCAUGAGUCCACAUGUUCAUAUGAUUAGAGGUAUUCCGGUAGACGAUGGGGAUGCGUUCCAUUAGAUAGUAGGCGGGGUAACGGCCCACCUAGUCUUCGAUGGAUAGGGGUUCUGAGAGGAAGGUCCCCCACAUUGGAACUGAGACACGGUCCAAACUCCUACGGGAGGCAGCAGUGAGGAAUAUUGGUCAAUGGGCGAGAGCCUGAACCAGCCAAGUAGCGUGAAGGAUGACUGCCCUAUGGGUUGUAAACUUCUUUUAUAAAGGAAUAAAGUCGGGUAUGCAUACCCGUUUGCAUGUACUUUAUGAAUAAGGAUCGGCUAACUCCGUGCCAGCAGCCGCGGUAAUACGGAGGAUCCGAGCGUUAUCCGGAUUUAUUGGGUUUAAAGGGAGCGUAGAUGGAUGUUUAAGUCAGUUGUGAAAGUUUGCGGCUCAACCGUAAAAUUGCAGUUGAUACUGGAUAUCUUGAGUGCAGUUGAGGCAGGCGGAAUUCGUGGUGUAGCGGUGAAAUGCUUAGAUAUCACGAAGAACUCCGAUUGCGAAGGCAGCCUGCUAAG
Molecule: ribosomal RNA, 697 nt
Filed under: uncultured Bacteroidales bacterium
Lineage: Bacteria; Pseudomonadati; Bacteroidota; Bacteroidia; Bacteroidales
Description: bacterial SSU rRNA
Rfam family: Bacterial small subunit ribosomal RNA
Source: RNAcentral